GACGAACGCUGGCGGCGUGCUUAACACAUGUAAGUCGAACGGAAAGGCCCUGCUUUUGUGGGGUGCUCGAGUGGCGAACGGGUGAGUAACACGUGAGUAACCUGCCCUUGACUUUGGGAUAACUUCAGGAAACUGGGGCUAAUACCGGAUAGGAGUUCCUGCUGCAUGGUGGGGGUUGGAAAGUUUCGGCGGUUGGGGAUGGACUCGCGGCUUAUCAGCUUGUUGGUGGGGUAGUGGCUUACCAAGGCUUUGACGGGUAGCCGGCCUGAGAGGGUGACCGGCCACAUUGGGACUGAGAUACGGCCCAGACUCCUACGGGAGGCAGCAGUGGGGAAUAUUGCACAAUGGGCGGAAGCCUGAUGCAGCAACGCCGCGUGCGGGAUGACGGCCUUCGGGUUGUAAACCGCUUUCGCCUGUGACGAAGCGUGAGUGACGGUAAUGGGUAAAGAAGCACCGGCUAACUACGUG
This 468-nucleotide ribosomal RNA is filed under the name uncultured bacterium. Its description in RNAcentral is "partial 16S ribosomal RNA". It matches the Rfam family "Bacterial small subunit ribosomal RNA", at positions 28 to 507 of the family's 1533-position model. The record is from RNAcentral.